UCCUACGGGAGGCAGCAGUGGGGAAUAUUGCAUAAUGGGCGGAAGCCUGAUGCAGCAACGCCGCGUGCGGGAUGACGGCCUUCGGGUUGUAAACCGCUUUCGCCUGUGACGAAGCGUGAGUGACCGGUAAUGGGUAAAGAAGCACCGGCUAACUACGUGCCAGCAGCCGCGGUGAUACGUAGGGUGCGAGCGUUGUCCGGAUUUAUUGGGCGUAAAGGGCUCGUAGGUGGUUGAUCGCGUCGGAAGUGUAAUCUUGGGGCUUAACCCUGAGCGUGCUUUCGAUACGGGUUGACUUGAGGAAGGUAGGGGAGAAUGGAAUUCCUGGUGGAGCGGUGGAAUGCGCAAAUAUCAGGAGGAACACCAGUGGCGAAGGCGGUUCUCUGGGCCUUUCCUGACGCUGAGGAGCGAAAGCGUGGGGAGCGAACAGGCUUAGAUACCCUGGUAGUCCACGCUGUAAACGGUGGGUACUAGGUGUGGGGUCCAUUCCACGGGUUCCGUGCCGUAGCUAACGCUUUAAGUACCCCGCCUGGGGAGUACGGCCGCAAGGCUAAAACUCAAAGGAAUUGACGG
Molecule: ribosomal RNA, 570 nt
Filed under: uncultured bacterium
Lineage: Bacteria
Description: bacterial SSU rRNA
Rfam family: Bacterial small subunit ribosomal RNA
Source: RNAcentral